Molecule: non-coding RNA, 128 nt
Filed under: Tiarina fusus
Lineage: Eukaryota; Ciliophora; Prostomatea; Prorodontida; Colepidae
Source: RNAcentral
GGAACCCGAAGCCGUUGUUCGGCGGGAACCCGAAGCCCGAGGGGGGCUGACCAAAGCCGCCGGGGGGGCCGGGGGGGCCGGGGGGCUGCUGGCCCGGGAAGGGGCGGUAGCCUGGCAUGGGCUGGAGG